CUGUGCUAAGUGGGGAGCUAGCGGUGCCCUGUAACCUGUAACCCGCUAUAACAGGACUGAAUCCCUUUCCGAGGAGCCCAAAUGGGAGGUUAGUUGUCAGCGGUUUGGCUUUAAGGGCUUGGGCCCUGUGCAAUAUAAAUCUGUGAACCCCGUCAGAUCCGGGAGGAAGCAGCGGUAAGCAGAACCUUAUAUGUGCCGCAGGUCAACCUGAGCCUUGUCGGCUGUUGAUAAACACUCACCAUUUACUUCGAAGAAAGGUGCACAG
This 265-nucleotide signal recognition particle RNA is filed under the name Candidatus Aminicenantota bacterium. RNAcentral describes it as "signal recognition particle sRNA large type". It matches the Rfam family "Bacterial large signal recognition particle RNA". From Rfam's summary of the family: The signal recognition particle (SRP) is a universally conserved ribonucleoprotein involved in the co-translational targeting of proteins to membranes. Archaeal SRP consists of a 7S RNA and homologues of the eukaryotic SRP19 and SRP54 proteins. In most bacteria, the SRP consists of a 4.5S RNA and the Ffh protein (a homologue of the eukaryotic SRP54 protein). The record is from RNAcentral. Lineage: Bacteria; Candidatus Aminicenantota.